UAGAGACUCAGAGCUGCAUAUCAAUAAGCGGAGGAAAAGAAACUAACAAGGAUUCCCCUAGUAACGGCGAGUGAAGCGGGAAGAGCUCAAAUUUGAAAUCUUAAAGGGUUUCCCUUUACGAAUUGUAGUUUAAAGAAGUGUUUUCUGUUGAGGUUUUGGUAAAAGUUCUUUGGAAUAGGACAUCAUAGAGGGUGAGAAUCCCGUAUUUGACCUUUACUUUCAACUUUGUGAUACACUUUCAAAGAGUCGGAUUGUUUGGGAAUGCAGUCCAAAAUGGGUGGUAAAUUUCAUCUAAAGCUAAAUAUUGGCGAGAGACCGAUAGCGAACAAGUACCGUGAGGGAAAGAUGAAAGGAACUUUGAAAAGAGAGUUAAACAGUACGUGAAAUUGUCAAAAGGGAAGCGUUUGACACCAGUGUUGUUUUUCUGAAAAUCAAUUAAAGAACUGUUUAUGCUAAGCUGUUUAGACUUUAUCAGCUAACUGUUUAGUUUUGAGCUUUUCUUUAAUGCACUUUUCAGUUAACAAGUCAACAUCAAUUUCUUUUGCUGUAAAAAAGCUUGAGGAAGGUGGCUUGGGAUUCGUCUUAAGUGUUUAUAGCCUCUUGCCUAUGCAGUCGGAGAGAUUGAGGUCUGCAGCGUAGAUCCUUCGGGGCUAAAUGCAUUUGUGCUAAGUUAUAGCAUUUUAUAGACAACUUGUUGACUAUGAUUUGUCUUGUAGCUUACUCGCUUAUGUUAUUUUACCUACGCUUAGGAUGUUGACGCAUGAGAUAUACGC
Molecule: ribosomal RNA, 773 nt
Filed under: uncultured Neocallimastigales
Lineage: Eukaryota; Fungi; Neocallimastigomycota; Neocallimastigomycetes; Neocallimastigales
Description: partial large subunit ribosomal RNA
Rfam family: Eukaryotic large subunit ribosomal RNA
Source: RNAcentral